CUAUGGUUUAUUGGAUCGUACCCGUCACAUGGAUAACUGUAAUAACUCUAGAGCUAAUACAUGCCACGAAGCCCUGACGUGUGCCUCCGGGUACAGGGAUGGGUGCACUUAUUAGAUCAGAAACCAACCGAGUCAGGGCCGUCCUCACCUGGGGACUGGUCAGGGCUUGUUGUCGUUCUGGUGACUCUGGAUAAUUGUUACAGAUCGCAGUCGGCCUUGCGUCGGCGACGGGUCCUUCAAAUGUCUGCCCUAUCAACUUUCGAUGGUAGGCAAUCUGCCUACCAUGGUGAUAACGGGUAACGGGGAAUCAGGGUUCGAUUCCGGAGAGGGAGCCUGAGAAACGGCUACCACUUCCAAGGGAGGCAGCAGGCGCGCAAAUUACCCACUCCCGGUACGGGGAGGUGGUGACGAAAAAUACCGAUGCGGGACUCUUCAAGAGGCUCCGUAAUCGGAAUGAGUGAACUCUAAAUCCUUUCACGAGGAUCAAUUGGAGGGCAAGUCUGGUGCCAGCAGCCGCGGUAACUCCAGCUCCAAUAGCGUAUAUUAAAGUUGCUGCAGUUAAAAAGCUCGUAGUUGGAUCUCGGUAUCACUGUUGCCCGCCAUUGCUUGGCCGGAUGGGUGCGGGGCGGAGCGGCCGAGUGCCAGUUCCUGCCUUGGUGCCCGACUGUUGUCGAGUUGGUGCGGCGGCGGUGCCACCUUUUAGCCAUGUCUGUGGUGAAAUAUCCACAGGUGUAGGCGAGUGUCGGGCGGUGCCCUGCACCAGUAGGGUCCGUCGGCUCGUCUGCAUGCCUUUGGAUGCCCUUCAAAAGGUGUCUGUGGGCGGAUGGCACGUUUACUUUGAACAAAUUUGAGUGCUCAAACCAGGCCGCUGUAGCCUGAAAAGUUUUGCAUGGAAUAAUGGAAUAGGACUUCGGUUCUAUUUUGUUGGUUUUCGGAUCCGAAGUAAUGAUCAAAAGAGACAGGCGGGGACGUUUGUAUGGUUGCGCUAGAGGUGAAAUUCAUGGACCGUAACCAGACAGACUAAAGCGAAAGCAUUCGUCAAGCAUGUUUUCAUUGGCCAUGAGCGAAAGUCAGAGGCUCGAAGACGAUCAGAUACCGUCCUAGUUCUGACCAUAAACGAUGCCAACUGACGAUCCGUGGUGGUAGUUUAAUAACCGUCCCCACGGGCAGCCCCCGGGAAACCUUUAAGUCUAUGGGUUCCGGGGGAAGUAUGGUUGCAAAGCUGAAACUUAAAGGAAUUGACGGAAGGGCACCACCAGGAGUGGAGCCUGCGGCUUAAUUUGACUCAACACGGGAAAACUCACCCGGGCCGGACACUGUGAGGAUUGACAGAUUGAGAGCUCUUUCUUGAUUUGGUGGUUGGUGGUGCAUGGCCGUUCUUAGUUGGUGGAGCGAUUUGUCUGGUUAAUUCCGAUAACGAACGAGACUCUAGCCUGCUAAUUAGUGCGCCUGUCCUCUGUUCCUGUGUAGGCGGCUCUCAGCGCUACUGCCUUGCUAUGCUGGUCUGCCUGUGUGCGGCGUAGUCAGGGUUGGUCGCCUCGCCUGUGUGUGUGCGCGCGCGUCGCCAUCUGGCUGGCAAAGCGUCUGUUGGCUCGGUUCGCCGCGGUCGACGACGAUGGUCGGUCGGUGUGUGUGUGUGUGCGYGCGUGCGUGCGGGUGUUGGGUGGCUGGCUAGUCUGGCUGUGUCUGUGUGCGGUGGGCUGGUUUAGGCGGUGGAGUCGGGGUUUGCUUCCGGGUACGGCGCAGGUGUCUACUUCUUAGAGGGACAAGCAUAUGCAAAUGCACGAGAUUGAGCAAUAACAGGUCUGUGAUGCCCUUAGAUGUCCGGGGCCGCACGCGCGCUACAAUGACGGUGCCAACGAGUCUGACCUCCUGGCCCGAAAGGGUUGGGCAAACUGGUCAAUCACCGUCAUGUCAGGGAUCGGGGCUUGGAAUUGUUCCCCGUGAACCAGGAAUUCCUAGUAAGUGCAAGUCAUAAGCUUGCGCUGAUUACGUCCCUGCCCUUUGUACACACCGCCCGUCGCUACUACCGAUUGAAUGGUUUAGUAAGGUCCUUGGAUCGGUGCCAUUGUAGUGGCUGCCGAAAGGCAUGUCCACUCGACAGGUGCUGAGAAGACGACCAAACUUGAUCAUUUAGA
Molecule: ribosomal RNA, 2138 nt
Filed under: Pseudocaryophyllaeus tenuicollis
Lineage: Eukaryota; Metazoa; Platyhelminthes; Cestoda; Caryophyllidea; Lytocestidae
Description: SSU rRNA
Source: RNAcentral